Molecule: small nuclear RNA, 162 nt
Organism: Sorex fumeus (smoky shrew)
Lineage: Eukaryota; Metazoa; Chordata; Mammalia; Eulipotyphla; Soricidae
Product: U1 spliceosomal RNA
Exons: 1
Source: RefSeq, a predicted model, not a curated record
AGACUUAGCUGGCAGGGGAAUGCAUGAUCACAAAGGUGGUUUUCCCAAGGCAAGGAUUAUCCUUUGCACCCUGAACAUGCUGAUUCCUGUGAUUUCUCCAAAUGUGGGAAACUCAACUGCAUAAAUUGUGAUAGUGGAGGAAUGUGUUCACACUCUCUCCUG